This 68-nucleotide small nucleolar RNA is filed under the name Zootermopsis nevadensis. Its description in RNAcentral is "Small nucleolar RNA SNORD2". It matches the Rfam family "Small nucleolar RNA SNORD2". The record is from Rfam by way of RNAcentral. Lineage: Eukaryota; Metazoa; Arthropoda; Insecta; Blattodea; Termopsidae.
CAUUGCAAUGAUGGUUAUCUUUCGGGUCUGAAUUUUGUUGUGGAUAGUUCCCAAUGAUCUGAGCAAUG